Molecule: ribosomal RNA, 498 nt
Filed under: uncultured bacterium
Lineage: Bacteria
Description: partial 16S ribosomal RNA
Rfam family: Bacterial small subunit ribosomal RNA
Source: RNAcentral
AUUGAACGCUGGCGGCAUGCCUUACACAUGCAAGUCGAACGGUAACAGGUCUUCGGAUGCUGACGAGUGGCGAACGGGUGAGUAAUACAUCGGAACGUGCCCGAUCGUGGGGGAUAACGGAGCGAAAGCUUUGCUAAUACCGCAUACGAUCUACGGAUGAAAGCCGGGGACCGCAAGGCCUUGCGCGGACGGAGCGGCCGAUGGCAGAUUAGGUAGUUGGUGGGAUAAAAGCUUACCAAGCCGACGAUCUGUAGCUGGUCUGAGAGGACGACCAGCCACACUGGGACUGAGACACGGCCCAGACUCCUACGGGAGGCAGCAGUGGGGAAUUUUGGACAACGGGCGAAAGCCUGAUCCAGCCAUGCCGCGUGCAGGAUGAAGGCCUUCGGGUUGUAAACUGCUUUUGUACGGAACGAAAAGCCUCUUUCUAAUAAAGAGAGGUCAUGACGGUACCGUAAGAAUAAGCACCGGCUAACUACGUGCCAGCAGCCGCGGUAA